This 253-nucleotide ribosomal RNA is filed under the name uncultured bacterium. RNAcentral's name for it is "partial 16S ribosomal RNA". It matches the Rfam family "Bacterial small subunit ribosomal RNA", at positions 524 to 776 of the family's 1533-position model. The record is from RNAcentral.
UACGUAGGGGGCAAGCGUUGUCCGGAAUCAUUGGGCGUAAAGAGCGCGUAGGCGGUCCGGUAAGUCCGCUGUGAAAGUCAAGGGCUCAACCCUUGAAUGCCGGUGGAUACUGUCGGGCUAGAGUCCGGAAGAGGCGAGUGGAAUUCCAGGUGUAGCGGUGAAAUGCGUAGAUAUCUGGAGGAAUACCGGUGGCGAAGGCGGCAUCCUGGACCGAGAUUGACGCUGAUGAGCGAAAGCUAGGGGAGCAAACGGG